This 484-nucleotide ribosomal RNA is filed under the name uncultured bacterium. RNAcentral's name for it is "partial 16S ribosomal RNA". It matches the Rfam family "Bacterial small subunit ribosomal RNA", at positions 30 to 507 of the family's 1533-position model. The record is from RNAcentral.
AUUGAACGCUGGCGGCAGGCCUAACACAUGCAAGUCGAGCGGAUGAAGGGAGCUUGCUCCUGGAUUCAGCGGCGGACGGGUGAGUAAUGCCUAGGAAUCUGCCUGGUAGUGGGGGAUAACGUCCGGAAACGGGCGCUAAUACCGCAUACGUCCUGAGGGAGAAAGUGGGGGAUCUUCGGACCUCACGCUAUCAGAUGAGCCUAGGUCGGAUUAGCUAGUUGGUGGGGUAAAGGCCUACCAAGGCGACGAUCCGUAACUGGUCUGAGAGGAUGAUCAGUCACACUGGAACUGAGCCACGGUCCAGACUCCUACGGGAGGCAGCAGUGGGGAAUAUUGGACAAUGGGCGAAAGCAUGAUCCAGCCAUGCCGCGUGUGUGAAGAAGGUCUUCGGAUUGUAAAGCACUUUAAGUUGGGAGGAAGGGCAGUAAGUUAAUACCUUGCUGUUUUGACGUUACCAACAGAAUAAGCACCGGCUAACUUCGUG